AAAGUCGUAACAAGGUUUCCGUAGGUGAACCUGCGGAAGGAUCAUUACAGAGGGAAAGUUGGUGGUUGGGGGGGUGAGGUUAUACCAUCCCUCCCUCCACACAUUCGCGCUUGUUUUGUUUCACAGAGUAAAUUACAUCAUAACCAUAUACAACUUUUAACAAUGGAUCUCUGGGCUCUU
This 180-nucleotide unclassified non-coding RNA is filed under the name Microsporidia sp. Its description in RNAcentral is "partial contains small subunit ribosomal RNA, internal transcribed spacer 1, and 5.8S ribosomal RNA". The stretch from base 1 to 47 matches the Rfam family "Eukaryotic small subunit ribosomal RNA", at positions 1785 to 1831 of the family's 1831-position model. The record is from RNAcentral. Lineage: Eukaryota; Fungi; Microsporidia.